UACGUAGGGGGCUAGCGUUGCUCGGAAUCACUGGGCGUAAAGCGCACGUAGGCGGAUUCUUAAGUCAGGGGUGAAAUCCUGGAGCUCAACUCCAGAACUGCCUUUGAUACUGAGGGUCUUGAGUUCGGGAGAGGUGAGUGGAACUGCGAGUGUAGAGGUGAAAUUCGUAGAUAUUCGCAAGAACACCAGUGGCGAAGGCGGCUCACUGGCCCGAUACUGACGCUGAGGUGCGAAAGCGUGGGGAGCAAACAGG
RNAcentral lists this ribosomal RNA (253 nucleotides) under uncultured bacterium. RNAcentral's name for it is "partial 16S ribosomal RNA". It matches the Rfam family "Bacterial small subunit ribosomal RNA", at positions 524 to 776 of the family's 1533-position model. The record is from RNAcentral.